Molecule: long non-coding RNA, 374 nt
Organism: Mus caroli (Ryukyu mouse)
Lineage: Eukaryota; Metazoa; Chordata; Mammalia; Rodentia; Muridae
Source: RefSeq, a predicted model, not a curated record
UCUCCUCUUUGUCCUGCACAUCAAUGGUACUGACAGCUUCAAUGACAUCUGAAGUAGAGAGGAGGAGGCCAAAGCACAGGAACUGUUUUUGCAAAUAGUGCGUCACUGCAGCCAUCUUGCAAUCACGCGGUCCUGACAUGUCUGAUGGAGGAGAGGAAAAGGAAGGAAAGGACACCCUACUGAUGUCAGUCACAUCUAAGGUGAAAUGUGCACCAAGUUCACGAACCUGUCCUGCUUCUUAUAAAAUAUGCUCCGGGACCUCACAGCCUCACGGCCUGCCAGACCUGGCAGCUCCCAGCUACGCUGCAGAUGUCACAAAGCAAGGAAGGGCUGCCUCUCAGACAAAAUGCAGUAAAGAUACAUUUUCAACUAGA